AUGCCCAUCGGGGCCUCGGAAUCUGUACUUCUUUUA
Unclassified non-coding RNA from Callorhinchus milii (elephant shark), 36 nucleotides. The record is from Ensembl. NCBI's taxonomy places the organism in Eukaryota, Metazoa, Chordata, Chondrichthyes, Chimaeriformes, Callorhinchidae.